RNAcentral lists this transfer RNA (83 nucleotides) under Eumeta japonica. It matches the Rfam family "tRNA". From Rfam's summary of the family: Transfer RNA (tRNA) molecules are approximately 80 nucleotides in length. Lineage: Eukaryota; Metazoa; Arthropoda; Insecta; Lepidoptera; Psychidae. The record is from Rfam by way of RNAcentral.
GUCAGGUUGGCCGAGUGGUCUAAGGCGCCAGAUUUAAGCUCUGGUUCCUGAGAGGAGCGUGGGUUCGAACCCCACACCUGACA